CCCUUAGAUGUUCUGGGCCGCACGCGCGCUACACUGAUGCAUUCAACGAGUUUCUUCCUGGUCCGAGAGGAAUGGGUAACCUUUUGAAAGUGCAUCGUGAUAGGGAUAGACUAUUGCAAUUAUUGGUCUUCAACGAGGAAUUCCUAGUAGACGUAGUUCAUCAGACUGCAUCGAUUACGUCCCUGCCCUUUGUACACACCGCCCGUCGCUCCUACCGAUUGAGUGGCCCGGUGAGGCUUUGGGAUCUGAGCGGAAAGAGCGUUUCGCUGUUUCUGCUCGGAAAACUCAGUCGAACCUUAUCAUUUAGAGGAAGGAGAAGUCGUAACA
This 327-nucleotide ribosomal RNA is filed under the name uncultured eukaryote. Its description in RNAcentral is "partial 18S ribosomal RNA". It matches the Rfam family "Eukaryotic small subunit ribosomal RNA", at positions 1470 to 1796 of the family's 1831-position model. The record is from RNAcentral.